This is an RNA transcript of Leptopilina boulardi, 1056 nucleotides long. RefSeq lists it as uncharacterized. The record is from RefSeq and is a predicted model, not a curated record. NCBI's taxonomy places the organism in Eukaryota, Metazoa, Arthropoda, Insecta, Hymenoptera, Figitidae. The transcript has 4 exons.
AUGUAGAAGAACAAUUUUUUGUUCGUUAAAAUUUAAUCUCAGUAUUUUUUUUAAUCAUAAUCGUUAAUUAUACAUUUUUUUGGGUAAUUAAGUGCAGUUUUUAUAUGAAUAAUCAAAAAUGAAUAAAAAAUUUCGUGGCAGCUGUGAGGAAAAAUAAUUCAGGUGUCCAAUUUUUGUGAAUGAUGGGUGCUUGUUGCGGAGCUGCUCCUGGAGGAGAUCUUGCAUUGCUGAGUCGCAGUUCAAUGCAUUUGGUCAAGAAGAUUUUUUCAUAUUUAAAAAGAGGAUAUGCAGUCAUCGUAUUUUAGACACUACGCAGAAAUUGUCUCAUAUAGGUCCAUUUCAAUUUUUCCAAAUAUAUCUGAAAAGACUAGGAAGGAUGUGGAAGAAGAAAAGUGGUCCCUGCAUACAGUUUUUUUUUAUAAAUUUUUUUUUUGCAUUUUUUAUUACUUUUUUUUUAUAUAAUUUUUUUUUUGUGGCUCCCAACCUUUCGCAGAAGUGCGAUGAAGUUGAGGGAUCUUUGGGAGUUGACCUGAAGCGCUCGAGAAGUGGCGAUGACGUUAUUGCCCCAACGUUGGGAUGAUUCGCCGAUCGUUGAGUCGUUUUUUAUUUAACCCCUUCCCUGUUUAAAACAAUUUAUUAUUUUUUAUAAAUUCAAAAAAAAAAAAAAAAAAAUAGAGUCAUAAAUUGAAAAUGAAUUUUUUUUACAUUUAUAAAUUUUAUAUUUUAUUAAUUUUUAUUUUAUAAAUUUUGGAAUUCAUUUAACUAUUUAGAAAAAUAAAUGUUGAUGGAGAUAAAAAUAUUAAAAAUUAGAAAAAUAAAAAAACAGGGAAGGAAUUUUGACAACAUAGUGACAGCAUUGACAAAAUUUAUUAUUUUCUAGUUAUUUUUUAGGGGUAAUCUAAAAAAAGAAGCUUGUGAUAUUUUCGAAAAUUAUCCCCUAAAAAUUUCUAACACUUUCCACAUUCUAAAAUAUUACAUGCUUCGUAGAUUACUACCUUAAUACUACGUAAAUUAAUAUUAUUGUCAAUGUUUUUUUUUUUUUUUUCAUUGUUUAUG